RNAcentral lists this long non-coding RNA (1558 nucleotides) under Gigantopelta aegis. RNAcentral describes it as "uncharacterized LOC121384531". Lineage: Eukaryota; Metazoa; Mollusca; Gastropoda; Neomphalida; Peltospiridae. The record is from RNAcentral.
CACCGGCAACAGGAAUUUAUUUGUCUGCUGCCACCACACAAUAAUUGCCUGACAGACAUGCAGCCACAGACUUUCUGGGUUUCAUUAGCGGUGGUGAUCGUUGGAGUCUUGGUGUGUACUGGUGCUGCCCCAUUCAAGGAAAGAAGUAAAUCUGUCAGUCGCGCUAAACGUUACGCGCAAAUGGACUACUUCAACGAACUCAGCAAAUACUUCGAAUCUCUGCCGCCACUGAGAAAAAGUAUCGACUCCAUGUUGAAAGCAGAAGUCAAAAGAAAUAUGUUCUGGCAGCCAUUGGGAUAUCUCCCUGCUUCCGCCAGAGUUAGCGGGAAUAACGCUAAACACGGAAACAUCGAUCCGAAUGGAUCGGACGUUUUCCGGUACGGGAAGUAAGAAGAAACAAUCCAAAUGGAAGAGACGCAGGUUUUUCUUUCUUUUUUCCGGCAAGGGAAGCAACUCUUGUGUUCUGCGGAUGUUGUACACCGACAUGCAAACUAAAAAGAAAACCGCACAAAGGAACUAUUAAUAAACUGAUUCUGGCAUGUCAUCGAUCGAGCCAUUAAAUGAUUCUAUGCUGUUACAAAGAACCACACAAGAAACAAACACAGAUAACACAAAACAUUCAAACCGAAAUUGAACACAAAACAUUCAAACCGAAAUUGAACACAAAACAUUCAAACCGAAAUUGAACACAAAACAUUCAAACCGAAAUUGAACACAAAACAUUCAAACCGAAAUUGAACACAAAACAUUCAAACCGAAAUUGAACACAAAACAUUCAAACCGAAAUUGAACACAAAACAUUCAAACCGAAAUUGAACACAAAACAUUCAAACCGAAAUUGUUCCGUCCAGCAUUGAUCAUUAACUGGAAAAGUUCUUUUGUCUUCAAAUGUUAAUUUUGUGCUAAUACACGUUUUAAAAAUAAAACCAUUUUGUGACAUUUUGCGUGAUCGCUGUAAUAGUGGAUUUAAGAUAGUUAGUUGGACUAAUCAUACAGGGCCUUUAAUAUUAUAUUUUUAAAAAUUAAUCUUGUGCUAAUACACGUUUCAAAAAUUAUAUUUGUGUGGCAAUAUGUAUGGCCUAAUAGCCGGAUUUAUAGAUUUAAAAGUAUGACAUCCUAAACACAUUGUGGUUCAAAGGCAAAAACCAGGGAUAACGGGUUUUCUUUGGGUUUUGUUUUCUUCUUAAAAAGCAACAACAUUUUUUUUUUUUUUAAAUGAUUUAAAUUUAUUUGUAGGUUAUAAUAAAUUUAUGAAUUUUAAUAAAUAUACAGCAAAGAAGACAAUUAUUACAAAGAAAACUGUCUUUCUCUUACUUUGCAUGUGUAUGCGUGCAAACGUACGGACGACUACCAUAAUACCAUACAUACAUACAUACAUACAUACAUACAUACACAUAUACACACAUUCAUUUAAAAUCAAAAUCCAUAUAUGACCAUUUUUAAUGAAUAAUGAUUUGCUUAAUGAUUAAAAUUAAAAUGUAAAAUGUGCUUUCUAGUACUGAAAUAGCACUAUUUGCUACCUAAUAUGUGUGCAGAAUAAAGGUUUAUUUUCGACAGG